GACGAACGCUGGUGGCGUGCUUAACACAUGCAAGUCGAACGGAAAGGCCCUGCUUUUGUGGGGUGCUCGAGUGGCGAACGGGUGAGUAACACGUGAGUAACCUGCCCUUGACUUUGGGAUAACUUCAGGAAACUGGGGCUAAUACCGGAUAGGAGCUCCUGCUGCAUGGUGGGGGUUGGAAAGUUUCGGCGGUUGGGGAUGGACUCGCGGCUUAUCAGCUUGUUGGUGGGGUAGUGGCUUACCAAGGCUUUGACGGGUAGCCGGCCUGAGAGGGUGACCGGCCACAUUGGGACUGAGAUACGGCCCAGACUCCUACGGGAGGCAGCAGUGGGGAAUAUUGCACAAUGGGCGGAAGCCUGAUGCAGCAACGCCGCGUGCGGGAUGACGGCCUUCGGGUUGUAAACCGCUUUCGCCUGUGACGAAGCGUGAGUGACGGUAAUGGGUAAAGAAGCACCGGCUAAC
This 462-nucleotide ribosomal RNA is filed under the name uncultured bacterium. RNAcentral's name for it is "partial 16S ribosomal RNA". It matches the Rfam family "Bacterial small subunit ribosomal RNA", at positions 28 to 501 of the family's 1533-position model. The record is from RNAcentral.